Phyllopteryx taeniolatus (common seadragon) is the source of this 2485-nucleotide long non-coding RNA. RefSeq lists it as uncharacterized. NCBI's taxonomy places the organism in Eukaryota, Metazoa, Chordata, Actinopteri, Syngnathiformes, Syngnathidae. The record is from RefSeq and is a predicted model, not a curated record. The transcript is spliced from 4 exons.
CUCAUGAAGUAGGCUUUUCCUGACAUUUUUCUUUCAAGCAGAAGCCUGAUGAUGAUCUUACCUCAUGUGGACAUGAUUAGCAAUCCAUUUGCGGUGGACCGGGUCUUCCUCACACUCGAGAGGUUCUGGGUUUGAAUCUCAGCUCUGACUUUCCUGUGUGGAGUUGCCAUGUUCUCCCGGUGCUUGUGUGGGUUAUCUAAUUUCAAAAUCAUGCAUGGCCGCCAUGGAACGGGGUGACUGCGAUGCCACGAAUUUCCCAAGGAACCCUGCAUUUUGAGGGUUAAAACGCUUUUAAAGGCUUUGUGGACCUGGAAGAAAUUAAUUCAUGCCACGUUAUUUCCUGUGCGGAAAAACAACUUGGAAGCCGUCCAGCAUCACAGAACAGAUUAUAUUGGACUUUGGAACUUCUACUGUAUUAUUUUCAUUUCACUUUUAUUAUGAUUUCUGUUUAUUUUCCAGGUGGCAAUGCUCUCUUGAAUAUGGCAACGGUUGACAGUUGGAGAACUUUGCAGAUAAACAUGCUGACACUGGCCAUCCGUCUGCCCCAGUCGAAGGAACCUCCUCCACUCAUUAAUUUUCUGCGACCCCAUCCAUCUGUGUCUCACAGGCAGAGAUGCGCACACACACAAUAUACAGUACAUUGAAAAACCUCAAGAUCGAAGAUCUUGACUCACUAUCAAUCUUCAAUGAUGAAUCAGGCUCUCGCUUUCUAUAUGUUCUCUCUCUGUGUGUUGUAUGUACAAAGUGUUCACAGCCUAGUCAUGUAAUAUUUAGCAACUUUAAUCCCCCAACAAAAAUCAGUAGCUUCCCCACAGCGGAUGUCCACAAAUCCUCUUUAUGAUUCCAUGUGUUUGUGCUGACAAAGUGACUCAAACAUCACGCACACGUGACAAAAGACACCUGAACUAUGUUUCGUCCAUCCUCAAUAUAAAUGCACUGGCAUGGUGGAGUAUUACUGCAGAUCUUACUUUGUCAUAAUUGUUUCCUUCUGGGUCCCUUGGUGGUGUCCCACAGGGAUCCCUCCUUGAUCUGUUCAUGUUUAUAAAUAGGAUGUUGCCAAAUAAUGUUACCUGGAUUCAUAGUUCCGCUUGUACCAAAAAACACAUUCAACCAUGCAUUAUAGGAUGUCCUCAAAUAGUGACCGUCCCUCGAAUAGAUGUGAUGCCCCAAUUAGUCAUUGGGUGAGUCAAUGUAGACGCCUUCCUUCAAUUGACAGCUCACUUUAACUAUUAGGAAUAAAACAUGUAAUAAGUGUAACUAUCUCAGUUCAUAGACACAUUAUUUACACACAGACGUUAAGAAUGACUUGAUUAACCUGAGGGCAGCAUGGUGAAUAUAUUGGUUAGCAUGGCUGCCUUGCAGUUCUGACGUUCUGGGUUCAAAUUUGAGUUUUCAAACCUUGUGCGUGCGGUUUUCGUUUGGAUACUCCAGCUCCAGUUCCACAUUCCAAAAACAUGCACGUUAGGUUUAUUUCGGAAAAACUGAGUGUGAAUUUUCCCCUGAGAUUGAAAGGCGACCGGUGCAGGGUAUACCCUGCCUCUCGCCCAAAGUCAGAGGCUCCUGCUCACUCAUGGUCCUAAUGAGGUCAAGCGCUACAGACCAUGUGUUGAUGGAUGAUUAGCCCUUUGGAAUUCUGUUGCUAACCAAAACAGCAGCACCUCACAAAGCACACUCAGAUUAGUUUUAAGUGUGUGGUUUUAUGGCAUAUUGUAAACUAAUUCCCUGCACAGUAUUAAAUACGAUCUUAGGAUCAGAAGAAGCAAUAAGAAUUCUCGUUGACCAGAAUUGCUCCACAAUGUUAUGGGCAGCCAUGUUUAUGUUACGCCCAGUCUCCCUUGAUUCUUGAUGUUUCUGUACAUUUCACUUGACAAAAAUUGUAAUAAUCCACUAACAUUGUUUGCCAUUUUUCUGAAAAUGCAUCCAAAUAACAGCUUCCGCCACUAAUAGAUACUUCCCUGGAGUUGAGUAAAUAAACAACCCUGGCCUCUAUUUGUGGCAGCGGUGUAGCUUAUCUUUACCUGUAUCCAUAUUAUAUUAUCCAUCCAUCCAUUUUCUGAGCCGCUUCUCCUCACUAGGGUCGCGGGCGUGCUGGAGCCUAUCCCAGUUAUCAUCGGGCAGGAGGCGGGGUUUUCCUCCCCAACCAUGUGGGAGGAAACCGGAGUGCCCGGAGAAAACCCACGCAGGCACGGGGAGAACAUGCAAACUCCACACAGGCGGGGCCGGGGAUUGAACCCCGGUCCUCAGAACUGUGAGGCUGACGCUCUAACCAUUCGCCCACCGUGCCGCCCCAAGUUAUAUUAUAAAUAUAGGUGCAUGUCUAAAAUGUUCCCAGAGGUCUCGCCUGACAGACUGACGCACAGUGACGAUGUGAUGAAAAUUGCUUUUGGCGCACCUGUGUGACCUGCCUCUAUCAGAAAGUGAUGGACACAACAACCCUGCACGGAUUGUAUGUCACUCAAAUGCAUGACUUUGAGCUUUACUGCAA